Molecule: transfer RNA, 67 nt
Filed under: Habronattus oregonensis
Lineage: Eukaryota; Metazoa; Arthropoda; Arachnida; Araneae; Salticidae
Description: tRNA-Ser
Source: RNAcentral
AGAAUAAUUGUUUGACUUUAUUAAUAAUUAUUUUGAAAGUAAUUGAUAAGGAAUUCCUUUAAAGUAG